Molecule: long non-coding RNA, 300 nt
Organism: Sinocyclocheilus anshuiensis
Lineage: Eukaryota; Metazoa; Chordata; Actinopteri; Cypriniformes; Cyprinidae
Exons: 3
Source: RefSeq, a predicted model, not a curated record
UGAGUAUUUGCUCUUUCUGUGCAUUUCUCGCUCUUUUUCUUCCAUCUGUCUCACUGUAAUGCCUUCCUUCUCUCUUUCAUGCUCCCUUUUAGUCCUUUUGCUGCUUGGUUGAGCAGUUUGACGUUGGGAGACUCGGAGCGCAGGUCUUCUCCUGGCCAGCAGAGGGAGACGCUGUCUGAUCUCCCCUCAGACAACGCAGGGACGGGUUUAGUCCAAAGAUGUGUGGUUGUGCAAAGGGACAAUCUGGGGUUUGGCUUCACCGUCUGUGGCGAGAGAAUCAAACUAGUGCAGAAUGUUCGG